This 170-nucleotide non-coding RNA is filed under the name Paenibacillus bovis. RNAcentral describes it as "GlcN6P sequence". It matches the Rfam family "glmS glucosamine-6-phosphate activated ribozyme aptamer". Rfam says of the family: This entry contains a glucosamine-6-phosphate activated ribozyme that is found in the mRNA for GlmS. GlmS is an enzyme that uses fructose-6-phosphate and glutamine to generate glucosamine-6-phosphate. The ribozyme catalyses self cleavage of the glmS mRNA that is thought to regulate GlmS activity. The record is from Rfam by way of RNAcentral. Lineage: Bacteria; Bacillati; Bacillota; Bacilli; Caryophanales; Paenibacillaceae.
AGGCAAGACCAAGCGCCAGAGCUCGAAGAGACGGAGAAAGUAAAUAUCGAGCUGACGAGGUGAAGGUGUUCGAAACAUUCGGCGGGGACCUUCCGGUGAUGCAUCAGACCGCAAAUUGGAAUCCAAAUGCAGAGAGUGAUCUCUGCCACAAAGAUCCAUUCGAUGCCAGC